CCUACGGGUGGCAGCAGUGAGGAAUAUUGGUCAAUGGGCGCGAGCCUGAACCAGCCAAGUAGCGUGAAGGAUGACUGCCCUACGGGUUGUAAACUUCUUUUAUAAAGGAAUAAAGUGAGGCCCGUGUGCCUUUUUGUAUGUACUUUAUGAAUAAGGAUCGGCUAACUCCGUGCCAGCAGCCGCGGUAAUACGGAGAAUCCGAGCGUUAUCCGGAUUUUUUGGGGUUCAAGGGAGCGUAGAUGGGUUGUUAAGUCAGUUGUGAAAGUUUGCGGCUCAACCGUAAAAGUGCAAUUGAUACUGGGAGACUUGAGGACGGGUAGGGUAGGUGGAAGUCGUGGUGUAGCGGUGAAAUGCUUAGAUAUCACGAAGAACUCCGAUUGCGAAGGCAUCGUACCAAAGUAACACUGACGCUGAGGCUCGAAAGUGUGGGUAUCAAACAGGAUUAGAUACCCGAGUAGUC
Molecule: ribosomal RNA, 460 nt
Filed under: uncultured bacterium
Lineage: Bacteria
Description: partial 16S ribosomal RNA
Rfam family: Bacterial small subunit ribosomal RNA
Source: RNAcentral